Molecule: ribosomal RNA, 422 nt
Filed under: actinobacterium SCGC AAA024-D10
Lineage: Bacteria; Bacillati; Actinomycetota; Actinomycetes
Description: bacterial SSU rRNA
Rfam family: Bacterial small subunit ribosomal RNA
Source: RNAcentral
GUGGGGAAUAUUGGGCAAUGGAGGAAACUCUGACCCAGCGACGCCGCGUGCGGGAUGAAGGCCUUCGGGUUGUAAACCGCUUUCAGUAGGGAAGAAGCGAAAGUGACGGUACCUACAAAAGAAGCACCGGCUAACUAUGUGCCAGCAGCCGCGGUAAUACAUAGGGUGCAAGCGUUGUCCGGAAUUAUUGGGCGUAAAGAGCUCGUAGGUCGUUUGUUACGUCGGAUGUGAAAACCUGAGGCUCAACCUCAGGCCUGCAUUCGAUACGGGCAAACUAGAGUUUGGUAGGGGAGACUGGAAUUCCUGGUGUAGCGGUGGAAUGCGCAGAUAUCAGGAGGAACACCAAUGGCGAAGGCAGGUCUCUGGGCCAAUACUGACACUGAGGAGCGAAAGUCUGGGGAGCGAACAGGAUUAUGAUACCC